RNAcentral lists this ribosomal RNA (483 nucleotides) under uncultured bacterium. RNAcentral's name for it is "partial 16S ribosomal RNA". It matches the Rfam family "Bacterial small subunit ribosomal RNA", at positions 29 to 506 of the family's 1533-position model. The record is from RNAcentral.
AGUGAACGCUGGCGGCAGGCCUAACACAUGCAAGUCGAGCGGCAGCGCGGGGGCAACCCUGGCGGCGAGCGGCGGACGGGUGAGUAAUUCGUCGGAAUCUGCCCUUUUGUGGGGGAUAACGUAGGGAAACUUACGCUAAUACCGCAUACGUCCUACGGGAGAACGUGGGGGACCGCAAGUCCACACGCAGAAAGAUGAGCCGACGACCGAUUAGCUAGUUGGUGGGGUAAAGGCCCACCAAGGCGACGAUCGGUAGCUGGUCUGAGAGGAUGAUCAGCCACACUGGGACUGAGACACGGCCCAAACUCCUAGGGGAGGCAGCAGUGGGGAAUAUUGGACAAUGGGCGCAAGCCUGAUCCAGCCAUGCCGCGUGUGUGAAGAAGGCCUUCGGGUUGUAAAGCACUUUUGUCCGGAAAGAAAUCCCUGGAGCUAAUACCUGCGGGGGAUGACGGUACCGGAAGAAUAAGCACCGGCUAACUUCGU